UAAAAAUAAAGAUUAAUUGCAUGCAGGUCCCUGCAAAUAUAGUGAAUUAUAAAUAUAUCCCUAUAAUUCACUGUUUUCAAAUAUGCCCCUGACGUUAGAAUUUAUUAGAAAAAUUUAGUUGUAAAUAUUUAACCAUAGUUAGUUAAUGAGGUAAUUGACCUUUUUACCCCUCUUCAAUUAAUCGUUGGGAUUUUUAGAGGAACAUAUUUAUGAUGGCAAAAAGGUUAUUUUACUUAUAAAAUAGAUAGUGCUUUAACGAUAACAAAUUAGAGGGAUAUAUUUGAAAAUAUUAGGAUUUCUGUAAGGACAAUAUAUGAAAAUUGAACUUUGUAGAGAUAUAUUUAUAAUUCACUAUAUUUAUUAGGCUCCGUUUGGAUCGGGAAUUAGUAGGAACUAGUUAUACCGGAGAUAGGUACAAGUAUGGAUUUUUGUAGGAAUAAAGGUAUUUUUUUGUUUGGAUGAAAUUAUGAGUAUAAACUGGAACUAGAAAAAUUGUGUUUGGAUGGUUAUCAGGAAUAAGAGAAAUAGUGGGUAGUUGAACUUUUUAAAUACCCAAAAUACCCCUCUCU
RNAcentral lists this long non-coding RNA (569 nucleotides) under Ananas comosus (pineapple). RNAcentral's name for it is "long non-coding RNA (ACOM_LNC016996)". The record is from RNAcentral. Lineage: Eukaryota; Viridiplantae; Streptophyta; Magnoliopsida; Poales; Bromeliaceae.